UGGGGAAUAUUGCACAAUGGGGGAAACCCUGAUGCAGCGACGCCGCGUGAACGAAGAAGGUAUUCGUAUCGUAAAGUUCUGUCCUAUGGGAAGAUAAUGACAGUACCAUAGAAGAAAGCUCCGGCUAAAUACGUGCCAGCAGCCGUGGUAAUACGUAUGGAGCGAGCGUUGUCCGGAAUUAUUGGGCGUAAAGGGUACGCAGGCGGUUUAAUAAGUCGAAUGUUAAAGAUCGGGGCUCAACCCCGCAAAGCAUUGGAAACUGAUAAACUUGAGUAGUGGAGAGGAAAGUGGAAUUCCUAGUGUAGUGGUGAAAUACGUAGAUAUUAGGAGGAAUACCAGUAGCGAAGGCGACUUUCUGGACACAAACUGACGCUGAGGUACGAAAGCGUGGGGAGCAAACAGG
RNAcentral lists this ribosomal RNA (403 nucleotides) under bacterium. RNAcentral describes it as "partial 16S ribosomal RNA". It matches the Rfam family "Bacterial small subunit ribosomal RNA", at positions 355 to 776 of the family's 1533-position model. The record is from RNAcentral.